This 75-nucleotide transfer RNA is filed under the name Candidatus Omnitrophota bacterium. RNAcentral describes it as "Candidatus Omnitrophica bacterium tRNA-Pro". It matches the Rfam family "tRNA". From Rfam's summary of the family: Transfer RNA (tRNA) molecules are approximately 80 nucleotides in length. Their secondary structure includes four short double-helical elements and three loops (D, anti-codon, and T loops). Lineage: Bacteria; Pseudomonadati; Candidatus Omnitrophota. The record is from RNAcentral.
CGGGACGUAGCGCAGUUUGGCUAGCGCGUCUGCUUUGGGAGCAGAAGGUCGGCAGUUCGAAUCUGCCCGUCCCGA